UACGGAGGGGGCUAGGGUUGUUCGGAAUUACUGGGCGUAAAGCGCACGUAGGCGGCUUUGUAAGUUAGAGGUGAAAGCCCAGGGCUUAACCCUGGAAUUGCCUUUAAGACUGCAUCGCUAGAAUUGUGGAGAGGUAAGUGGAAUUCCGAGUGUAGAGGUGAAAUUCGUAGAUAUUCGGAAGAACACCAGUGGCGAAGGCGACUUACUGGACACAUAUUGACGCUGAGGUGCGAAAGCGUGGGGAGCAAACAGG
RNAcentral lists this ribosomal RNA (253 nucleotides) under uncultured bacterium. Its description in RNAcentral is "partial 16S ribosomal RNA". It matches the Rfam family "Bacterial small subunit ribosomal RNA", at positions 524 to 776 of the family's 1533-position model. The record is from RNAcentral.